UAGAGUUUGAUCCUGGCUCAGAUUGAACGCUGGCGGCAUGCCUAACACAUGCAAGUCGAACGGAAACGAUGGGAGCUCGCUCCCAGGCGUCGAGUGGCGGACGGGUGAGUAAUGCCUGGGAAUCUGCCCAGUAGUGGGGGACAACUUCCGGAAACGGGAGCUAAUACCGCAUACGUCCCCUUGUUUAAUUACAAGGAAAGAAAGUGGGGGAUCUUCGGACCUCACGCUAUUGGAUGAGCCCAAGUCGGAUUAGCUUGUUGGUGGGGUAAAGGCCUGCCAAGGCGACGAUCCGUAGCUGGUCUGAGAGGACGAUCAGCCACACUGGGACUGAGACACGGCCCAGACUCCUACGGGAGGCAGCAGUGGGGAAUAUUGGACAAUGGGGGCAACCCUGAUCCAGCAAUGCCGCGUGUGUGAAGAAGGCCUGCGGGUUGUAAAGCACUUUCAGCAGGGAAGAAAUGCCUGGAGUUAAUAACUUCGGGUCUUGACGUCACCUACAGAAGAAGCACCGGCUAACUCCGUGCCAGCAGCCGCGGUAAUACGGAGGGUGCGAGCGUUAAUCGGAAUUACUGGGCGUAAAGCGCGCGUAGGCGGCUUGGUCAGUCGGAUGUGAAAGCCCCGGGCUUAACCUGGGAAUUGCAUUCGAAACUGCCGAGCUAGAGUAUGGGAGAGGGAAGUGGAAUUUCCGGUGUAGCGGUGAAAUGCGUAGAUAUCGGAAGGAACACCAGUGGCGAAGGCGACUUCCUGGCCCAAUACUGACGCUGAGGUGCGAAAGCGUGGGUAGCGAACAGGAUUAGAUACCCUGGUAGUCCACGCCGUAAACGAUGAGAACUAGAUGUCGGAAGGAUCUACCUUUCGGUGUCGCAGCUAACGCGUUAAGUUCUCCGCCUGG
RNAcentral lists this ribosomal RNA (892 nucleotides) under uncultured Pseudomonadota bacterium. RNAcentral describes it as "bacterial SSU rRNA". It matches the Rfam family "Bacterial small subunit ribosomal RNA", at positions 9 to 873 of the family's 1533-position model. Lineage: Bacteria; Pseudomonadati; Pseudomonadota. The record is from RNAcentral.